RNAcentral lists this ribosomal RNA (1295 nucleotides) under metagenome. RNAcentral's name for it is "eukaryotic LSU rRNA". It matches the Rfam family "Eukaryotic large subunit ribosomal RNA", at positions 1819 to 3077 of the family's 3401-position model. The record is from RNAcentral.
AAAAGUAAAAUUAUCAAUCUUAAUCGUACUCAUAACCGCAUCAGGUCUCUAAGGUUAACAGCCUCUGGUUAAAUAGAAUAAUGUAAAAUAAGGGAAGUCGGCAAAAUAGAUCCGUAACUUUGGGAAAAGGAUUGGCUCUAAAAGAUAAAACUUGAAAGACUAUUUUUUGAAGAAAUGAAGUCUAAUUUUAAAGGAAUGUUUGUAAAGAUAGAUUUUUGGAAGGUGAAAUUUGAUUGGAAGGGGAUUGUUAAAAGGAAAGCGUAAUUGUGGACUGAAUUUUUGGGUUAUUUAAUAUCUAAUUUAGAACUGGUACGGACAAGGGGAAUCCGACUGUUUAAUUAAAACAAAGCAUUGUGAUGGUUUUGAAUAAAUGAUGAUACAAUGUGAUUUCUGCUCAGUGCUCAGAAUGUCAAUAUGAAGAGAUUUAACCAAGCGCGGGUAAACAGCGGGAGUAACUAUGACUCUCUUAAGGUAGCCAAAUGCCUCGUCGUCCAAUUAGCGACGCGCAUGAAUGGAUUAAUGAGAUUCCCACUGUCCCUAAUUACUAUCUAGCGAAACCACAGCCAAGGGAACGGCUUGGCAAAAUUAGCGGGGAAAGAAGACCCUGUUGAGCUUGACUUUAUUCAGAAUUUGUGAAAUGGUGCUCGAGGUAUAGAAUAGGUGGGAGUGUAACGAAAUUGAAAUACCACUACUCUUGACGUUGUUUUACUUAUUAAAUAAAAAACUGAUUGAUUAAUAAUCUUGAUUCUAGAAUUAACGAAUAUUACAUGUUGCUUCCAUGUGAGGUAACCUCUGAUUUACGGAAGUUUGUUUAAGACAUUUUCUGGUGGGGAGUUUGGCUGGGGCGGCACAUCUGUUAAAAGAUAACACAGGUGUCCAAAGUAUAACUCAAUGAGAACGGAAAUCUCAUGUAGAAUAAAAGGGUAAAAGUUAUAUUGAUUUUGAUUUUCAGUAAGAAUACAAACCGUGAAAGCGUGGCCUAUCGAUCCUUUAUUAAAUAAAAAUCUUAUGCUAGAGGUGUCAGAAAAGUUACCACAGGGAUAACUGGCUUGUGGCAGCCAAGAGUUCAAAUCGACGUUGCUUUUUGAUCCUUCGAUGUCGGCUCUUCCUAUCAUUGUGAAGCAGAAUUCACCAAGUGUUGGAUUGUUCACCCUUCAAAAGGGAACGUGAGCUGGGUUUAGACCGUCGUGAGACAGGUUAGUUUUACCCUACUAAUGAAGUAGGAUUAUUCUAAUAGUAAUUCAAUUCAGUACGAGAGGAACCAUUGAUUCAGAUAUUUGGUUUAUAAGAUUAUC